GACGAACGCUGGCGGCGUGCUUAACACAUGCAAGUCGAACGGAAAGGCCCUGCUUUUGUGGGGUGCUCGAGUGGCGAACGGGUGAGUAACACGUGAGUAACCUGCCCUUGACUUUGGGAUAACUUCAGGAAACUGGGGCUAAUACCGGAUAGGAGCUCCUGCUGCAUGGUGGGGGUUGGAAAGUUUCGGCGGUUGGGGAUGGACUCGCGGCUUAUCAGCUUGUUGGUGGGGUAGUGGCUUACCAAGGCUUUGACGGGUAGCCGGCCUGAGAGGGUGACCGGCCACAUUAGGACUAAGAUACGGACCAGAAGCCUACGGGCGGCAGCAGUCGGGAAUAUUACACAAUGGGCGGACGCCUGAUGCAGCAACGCCGCGUGCGGGAUGACGGCCUUCGGGUUGUAAACCGCUUUCGCCUGUGACGAAGCGUGAGUGACGGUAAUGGGUAAAGAAGCACCGGCUAACUACGUG
RNAcentral lists this ribosomal RNA (468 nucleotides) under uncultured bacterium. RNAcentral's name for it is "partial 16S ribosomal RNA". It matches the Rfam family "Bacterial small subunit ribosomal RNA", at positions 28 to 507 of the family's 1533-position model. The record is from RNAcentral.